AGAAACAGCCGCAACAAUCGUUACACCUAUGCAACCCAUAUCGGCGUCUUAUAUUCCAGGAUUAACUAAAUCACGCAAGGUAAAUGUGAACAAACAUCAACCAUCAACGCCAACUAUUUUAACGCCGGAGAUUGCGGCUCCAACGUCCUAUUCGAAAUAUGUGCCUACAGGUCCUUCAACAAUUGUUUCAUCUUCUUUGCCUGGAUUAACAAUUACACCUGUUAACAUAUUAAAUGUGAUUCAAGCGGAAAUAUCUGCAUCGAGUAGUACAUGCCAUGGAUUAAUCUCAGCAUUUUCACCAAGUAAAUCAAAUUUAUCAGGUGGUUUCGGGAGCUCGAUAUCAGUGUCUGAGAUUCCAAAAAUGUACUUGAAUGCAUUUUCAACUAUUAGCCCGAAUAAUGUAUCCAUAGAUGGUAAAAAAAAGUCAUCACAAUAAACGAGUCAGAAUUAAAUGAAAAAUGGAAUGAAUGAAUGUUUAAUGGUACAACGUACGGAGAUUAUAAUUUUAGAGAAAUUGUUUGAACGUAGAAUAAGAAAUUGAGCUUCCGCUUGAGAAGAUCGUACAUUUCCUUGCGAUUGCAGAGAGGAAAAGCCAGAGAGGCUGGAAGAAAAGGUUUGACAGAAAAAAAGAGCGCUUACGGAGUCACUCAUAGAGCAUCACGCAUCGGAUUCAAAGUCUUAUAUUCCAGGAUUAACUAAAUCACGCAAGGUAAAUGUGAACAAACAUCAACCAUCAACGCCAACUAUUUUAACGCCGGAGAUUGCGGCUCCAACGUCCUAUUCGAAAUAUGUGCCUACAGGUCCUUCAACAAUUGUUUCAUCUUCUUUGCCUGGAUUAACAAUUACACCUGUUAACGUAUUAAAUGUGAUUCAAGCGGAAAUAUCUGCAUCGAGUAGUACAUGCCAUGGAUUAACCUCAGCAUUUUCACCAAGUAAAUCAAAUUUAUCAGGUGGUUUCGGGAGCUCGAUAUCAGUGUCUGAGAUUCCAAAAAUGUACUUGAAUGCAUUUUCAACUAUUAGCCCGAAUAAUGUAUCCA
Long non-coding RNA from Toxorhynchites rutilus septentrionalis, 1037 nucleotides. RefSeq lists it as uncharacterized. The transcript has 3 exons. The record is from RefSeq and is a predicted model, not a curated record. NCBI's taxonomy places the organism in Eukaryota, Metazoa, Arthropoda, Insecta, Diptera, Culicidae.